Molecule: ribosomal RNA, 301 nt
Filed under: uncultured bacterium
Lineage: Bacteria
Description: partial 16S ribosomal RNA
Rfam family: Bacterial small subunit ribosomal RNA
Source: RNAcentral
CAGCCGCCACGGGAAUACGAAGGGUGCAAGCGUUACUCGGAAUUACUGGGCGUAGAGCGUGCGUAGGUGGUGGUUUAAGUCCGUUGUGAAAGCCCUGGGCUCAACCUGGGAAUUGCAGUGGAUACUGGGUCACUAGAGUGUGGUAGAGGAUAGUGGAAUUUCCGGUGUAGCAGUGAAAUGCGUAGAGAUCGGAAGGAACAUCUGUGGCGAAGGCGACUAUCUGGGCCAACACUGACACUGAGGCACGAAAGCGUGGGGAGCAAACAGGAUUAGAUACCCGAGUAGUCCCUGUCUCUUAUAC